AUGCCUGUACCAUAACCGACACAGGUGGGUAGGUAGAGUAUACUAAGGGGCGCGAGAUAACUCUCUCUAAGGAACUCGGCAAAAUGACUCCGUAACUUCGGGAGAAGGAGUGCCUUAUUUAUAAGGUUGCAAUAACAAGAUCCAAGCAACUGUUUAUCAAAAACACAGGUCUCCGCUAAGUCGUAAGACGAUGUAUGGGGGCUGACGCCUGCCCAGUGCCAGAAGGUUAAAGAAGUUGGUUAGUGUAUGCGAAGCUGAUGACUGAAGCCCUGGUGAACGGCGGCCGUAACUAUAACGGUCCUAAGGUAGCGAAAUUCCUUGUCGGGUAAGUUCCGACCCGCACGAAAGGCGUAAUGAUUUGGAUACUGUCUCGGAGAGAGGCUCGGUGAAAUAGACUUGUCUGUGAAGAUGCGGACUACCUGCACCAGGACAGAAAGACCCUAUGAAGCUUUACUGUAACUUGAAAUUGGAAUUGGACUUUGCUUGCGCAGUAUAGGUGGGAAGCGUUGAAAAUAUUCUUGCGGGAGUAUUGGAGCUAUCAGUGAGAUACCACUCUUGUAAUGUUAGAUUUCUAACUUUGAACCAUAAUCUGGUCAAAGAACAGUUUCAGGUGGGCAGUUUGACUGGGGCGGUCGCCUCCCAAAUGGUAACGGAGGCGUACAAAGGUUUCCUCUGAACGGAUAGAAAUCGUAUCUAGAGUGUAAAGGCAUAAGGAAGCUUGACUGUGAGACCUACAAGUCGAGCAGGGACGAAAGUCGGUCUUAGUGAUCUGACGGUACUGAGUGGAAAGGCCGUCACUCAACGGAUAAAAGUUACUCUAAGGAUAACAGGCUGAUCUCCCCCAAGAGUUCACAUCGACGGGGAGGUUUGGCACCUCGAUGUCGGCUCAUCGCAUCCUGGGGCGGUAGUACGUCCCAAGGGUUGGGCUGUUCGCCCAUGAAAGCGGUACGCGAGCUGGGUUCAGAACGUCGUGAGACAGUUCGGUCCAUAUCCGGUGUAGGCGCUAGAAUAUUGAGAGGAGCCUUCUUUAGUACGAGAGGACCGAGAAGGAGACACCGCUGGUGUACCAGUUAUCGUGCCAACGGUAAACGCUAGGUAGCUAUGUGUGGAGUGGAUAACCGCUGAAAGCAUCUAAGUGGGAAGCCCACCUCGAGAUGAGUAUUCUGGUGUAAGGUCACGGGAAGACGACCCGUAAAUAGGCACGAGGUGGAAGUGCAGAGAUGUAUGAAGCCGAAGUGUACUAAUAGACCGUCGGCUUGACC
Molecule: ribosomal RNA, 1262 nt
Filed under: metagenome
Description: bacterial LSU rRNA
Rfam family: Bacterial large subunit ribosomal RNA
Source: RNAcentral